Phascolarctos cinereus (koala) is the source of this 842-nucleotide non-coding RNA. Lineage: Eukaryota; Metazoa; Chordata; Mammalia; Diprotodontia; Phascolarctidae. The record is from RefSeq and is a predicted model, not a curated record.
CCCAGAGGUCAUACAAGGUAUCACAUUCUGAGUUUAAUCUAUACUGCGUCUUGGAUGUGGCUCACAAGUUACUGUUUGGUAUAAAUGCACAAAAUCAGAGAUUUAGAACUGAUAAAGAAACGGAGGCAUCAUGAGAUUAAGUGAUUUCUUCAAAAUCAGCAUCAGUCAUGUCCUCCAAGUACUUUUGUUCUUCAUCCAAGUGAUCCAUCUAGCUGUGAGUUUGAUCCUGUUGAUAUUCAUCUAACCACGUACCAGAAUGAAGGUGAAGAAUAAACACUAAGGGGAGAGUGGAUGAGAUCUCUAACAGCUUUAAAAUACUAUGACAUUAAUGUCACAAGAUUAGUCAAAAAAUUCAAUUCAACUCAGAAAGGAUUAUUAAACAUCUACAGGACAUCAGAGGUCACAUUCCCUUGGGCUUCUGAUCUCUCUCCUCCACAUUGUAAAAGGGUGCUGGACAAAUGUUCCUGAAGAAACAAAGGGUCUCAGAAGAGGGUCUACCUCCAGGAAUGGUGUCAUUUCUUGAUGGGGUCUUUGGGGACACACUAGCAGCUCUCUCUACCAUUCCCUGAAGCUUACAAAGAACUGAGGGCUCUACCAGUAAGAAAGCUCAAUUUUGUAUCUAACCAUUCUCUGGUUUCUCCUUCCACUUGGCCCUGAGCAUGGUCUACAUAUGAAGUUUAUUCAUGAAAAACGUAUGGGCUUCCCAGGGGGCCCAACCUGUUCUACUGCAGUUCCCAGAAUCUGCACAGCCUGGCCUUGUCCUUGAAAAGUAGAACACACCUGCUGGGGCCUUCCAAGUGCACACGAACGAGGAAGACUAUUUAAAAUCAAGGGAGGAGGCA